This 159-nucleotide ribosomal RNA is filed under the name uncultured soil bacterium. RNAcentral describes it as "partial 16S ribosomal RNA". It matches the Rfam family "Bacterial small subunit ribosomal RNA", at positions 26 to 206 of the family's 1533-position model. The record is from RNAcentral.
AGAACGAACGCUGGCGGCAUGCCUAAUACAUGCAAGUCGAACGAAUGCCCUUCGGGGUGUUAGUGGCGCACGGGUGCGUAACGCGUGGGAAUCUGCCCUUGGGUUCGGAAUAACAGUUGGAAACGACUGCUAAUACCGGAUGAUGACGAAAGUCCAAAG